GGCUUCAUAGCUCAGUUGGUGGAGCGCUUGCCGUGUUUUGGCAUGUUGUUUCUGUUGCUGGUUCGAAUCCAGCCGAAGUCC
Molecule: transfer RNA, 81 nt
Filed under: Paragonimus heterotremus
Lineage: Eukaryota; Metazoa; Platyhelminthes; Trematoda; Plagiorchiida; Troglotrematidae
Rfam family: tRNA
About the family: Transfer RNA (tRNA) molecules are approximately 80 nucleotides in length.
Source: Rfam by way of RNAcentral